This 546-nucleotide ribosomal RNA is filed under the name uncultured fungus. Its description in RNAcentral is "eukaryotic LSU rRNA". The stretch from base 200 to 355 matches the Rfam family "5.8S ribosomal RNA". The record is from RNAcentral. Lineage: Eukaryota; Fungi.
AAGUCGUAACAAGGUCUCCGUAGGUGAACCUGCGGAGGGAUCAUUACCGAGAGAGCGGCGCCUCGCGCGCCCGACCUCCCAACCCUCUGUCGAUCGAUACCUGUUGCCUCGGGGGCGACCCGGACGUCGCGCCCAGAGGACAGUCCAAUCGAACACACUGCAGUCUCAUGCGUCGGAGUCAUUGAAAACAAUCAAUCAAAACUUUCAACAACGGAUCUCUUGGUUCUGGCAUCGAUGCAAGAACGCAGCGAAAUGCGAUAAGUAAUGUGAAUUGCAGAAUUCAGUGAAUCAUCGAAUCUUUGAACGCACAUUGCGCCCCUUUGGCAUUCCGAAGGGCAUGCCCGUUCGAGCGUCAUUACACCACUCGAGCCUGGCUUGGUAUUGGGCGUCGGGAUGCACCCCGCGCCUCUAAUGUUUGUUCGGCUGGACGGUUCGAAUCUCAGCGUUGUGCAAUUCAUCAGCUGAUCGGACCUGACUGAGACGCCGGCCGUGAAAUCCCCACCACAGGUUGACCUCGGAUCGGGUAGGGAUACCCGCUGAACUUAA